Long non-coding RNA from Melospiza melodia melodia, 1214 nucleotides. RefSeq lists it as uncharacterized. The record is from RefSeq and is a predicted model, not a curated record. The transcript is spliced from 4 exons. Lineage: Eukaryota; Metazoa; Chordata; Aves; Passeriformes; Passerellidae.
GGAACGGGAAGCUCCCAAUGGUCACAGGGCCACAAAAUCACUGACUUGGCAGAUGAACAUCUUGAUCCCUAUCACAGCCCUCUGCAAAUGGAAUGCUUUUAUCUUCCCUUAUCUCCAGGCACAUGUCUUCCUCUUCCUGAGCUCUUUGAAAGAAAAAAGCCUUUUUUUUUCCUUCUCUUGCUGUUUAGUUCCCAGCACAGGCUCUGGUGCUCAGCUACAGACCCAAAGGCUGCUGUGACCCUCAGAUUUCCAGCAGCUGAGAAUCCCUCAAAGAAAUGGAGAGGCUCCCAUCUGAUAAUGGACACUGUGUACAGGACCCACACCUUGCUGCAGGAAAACAGGACAUUCCAGAGCUGUACAGCCCUGCCCUGCACACCUUUCCAGGCCUCAGUGGUGUGGGUGCUGAUUUCACCUCUGUAUCCCAGACAACGUGGCCAGGGCACCAUGCCUCCAUUUUGAGAGAGGAUCCCAGAAAAUCCCACCCGGAGUUGUCUGAGGAGGGCAGGAUCUGACUGCAGGCACCAAGAGGGAUUCAAACCCUGCUGGCAAACCACAUUCCUCAAACAAGACCUUUUUUUGUUCAAACACUCGGACAUCACUUUUUCCCCGAGUUCUAAUUAUCUCUGCUCCUGAGGGGCUGAGUUCCAGAGCCACCGGACUGGGAUGCAACUGUGAGCACUAAAUCAAGGCCUCUGAAAAAUCCAAAUAAAUCCGAAAACCUAAUAAAAGCCACGGGCAGCUGCCACAGCACUGCCUGGGCCACCAAACCAGCCUGAGUGAAAGGGAAAAAAUUCAUUGGAAACCAUGAACUUCUAUUAAUAGGAGCUCACGUUGUAUUUCCCAGGAGGAAGUUGGAAAGCUGCAAUCAGCAAUGGCCAAAUCUGUGACCUGGGCAGGAAAUGCUGCAGUGUCACUGUCACAGUGUCAACGUGGACUCUGGGGGCACCUCACACCUGUGCCAGUGCCCUGGGGGUGUCACCCUGAUUUUUUAAGUUUUUCUAAACCUUCUGAUUUUGACAUUCUUGUAACAAAACUUUCUCACACAAUUUCUGUAGACAACUCAUUGUUCUUUUAUGGAGGAAAAAUCUGAUGGACUGUUGGUUUGUCCAGUGUCAUUGCAGAGGUGGCACUGUCACUUUCCAACCCACUGUCACCUCUGGAAAACUGUAAAUCUUGGAGCAGAAAAUAAACUUCAUUUUUCUUCACCUUGAGAG